UGUUUGUUUACCUAAAACCCGGUAGUAUCUACGUCACUAUCCACGACGGGUACAAAACGUAAUUUGUUUUCGAACUCGGCGACGAAAUGCGCACACAAAAUUGAUUAUAAUUAACCCUUAAUCACAAGGAAAUUGAUUACCGGUCGUUAUUUUUGUAUGUCUGUUCAACGGAUUAGGUGCACAACCCGGCGCUCGGUAGCGGCUCCGUUGAACCGAAUGAUGAAGCACUUAUAUCGAUUAUUUGCGCUCCAGGGGUGUACGCCGCCGACGACGAACAGAUCUCUUAUUUUUAUUGUUGUUAUUUUUUAUUUAUUUAUUUUUCAUACAACGUGUGUUCCAACCGCCUAUGCGUUUGUACAACAAAACCAACGAACGUGCGUUAACAGAUUUAUCUUGUGAUUUAUAACCGAAUCCGGGUUGGCUUAACACUUCUCCUUCUCACGCGUACCCUGUGGCUUCUCUAAUGUGUACAUUAAAUACGAGUGCGUGUGCAUAAACGCAAUAUCCUGCUCGGAACACUAUCGUCGAAAACGAAAAGGCCUCAUCGGUAUUGAAAUAUCAUGCCAACAAUAUAGCACUGCGGACGUCGUAAAAACCAACGAAAUUCAUAUUUAUCUCGUCACAUUUAUCACACCCUGCCCCCUUCUUCCCUCUCGGUAAAAAACAAUUAUUACCACGUUGCCGCAGUAUAUUUUCCAUAUCUUUUUCUCGCACCAACUGAGAAUCUGUACCGGUUCACAUAGACAUCACUUUGGCAUUCGUUCACGGCCAAUCGACACCGUGAUUAUGUUUCGACGAUAAUGUCAGCAAACUAUUUUUGUUUUUUUUUUUCAACUUAGAAAAUUAUACAAUCUAUACACAAAAAAUGAAUUCAAUAAGCGCAAUGUAUAUUAUUUACCAUGUGAGGGCUUGAGUGACUUGUGGAAAGAAUCAACCAACAGUGGAAGCACUUUGGCACUAUGUCAGCAAUAAGACCGAAAAAUGUACGCAACAAAUGCAACACAAAAAAACAUGUCGUCAGUUCACACUACAAACAAUUUCUUGGUUUCAUUAUCAGAUCAUAACGAAUGAUCAUCGCCUCUGCUGUUAACUACACAUAAUAUCUAUAUUCUAUAGUGGGUAUGCUAUAUAGAGAUGGGUCUCCAAACUACAGCCCACGAACAAGUUUCAACCGGCCCGUGGCCUACACAGGACGCAUGAAUAUAUUCUGUGAAGUUAUAUGUAUGUAUGUAUGGCUAUACAAAUUUCCAUUACUUUACCUGCAACUUCGUGUUCAGUAGAAAGAUCUUUCAGUACAUUACGUCGUUUAAAAACAUGGCUGAGAAACAGAAUAGGAAAUGAAAAGUUAAGUAGUUUAGGUCUGAUUAAUAUUCAUCGACGAAGAUACGAAAUUAAGGAAUUUUUUUAACAGCAAUUAGAAGGUAUUAUUGAAAAGUAUAUAUUGAG
Long non-coding RNA from Sipha flava (yellow sugarcane aphid), 1446 nucleotides. RefSeq lists it as uncharacterized. The transcript is spliced from 3 exons. Lineage: Eukaryota; Metazoa; Arthropoda; Insecta; Hemiptera; Aphididae. The record is from RefSeq and is a predicted model, not a curated record.